Molecule: long non-coding RNA, 491 nt
Organism: Oreochromis aureus
Lineage: Eukaryota; Metazoa; Chordata; Actinopteri; Cichliformes; Cichlidae
Exons: 2
Source: RefSeq, a predicted model, not a curated record
GUGAAAGAUCAGUUUACUCGUGCGGCGAAGAAGCUAGCUGGAUAGUGAAAGUCCUUUUUUCGGCAAGAAUAAUAAGAGUGAUACUGUAUUCCAGAGGCCGUGAGCCAGCGUGAGCACUGUGAAGCCCCAUGUAGCAUUUGUUGCUUCACAUGGUCAGGUUUUUUUUCCCUUUGCUUAUUUGGAUUGGAUUGGUUUUGAGGACCUGAGAAGAAUCGAGGAUCCCUUUUCCAGUACUGGAUGGCAAGCCCAGCCCAAAGAGCCGGAUGAACUGGUAGAUUGUAACCCGACUGGUUACAAACACACUGAGUGAAUAUUGAACAUUGAAAGACUGAAAUUGACUUUAAAAAAAGGCACAAAAGACAAUAUAUCCUUGGGUCGACCAUUUGUGGGGUUUAUUUUAUUUUGUUUUCAAUAAGCACGCUCUACUUUUGUUAAAUGUGCACAACCUGCUAAACUUUAAUAAUUGCUAAUAAAUGCAAUUGUGUUUUCUA